AACGAACGCUGGCGGCAUGCCUAACACAUGCAAGUCGAACGAAGCCUUCGGGCUUAGUGGCGCACGGGUGCGUAACACGUGGGAAUCUGCCCUUCGGUUCGGAAUAACAGUUAGAAAUGACUGCUAAUACCGGAUGAUGACGAAAGUCCAAAGAUUUAUCGCCGAAGGAUGAGCCCGCGUAGGAUUAGGUAGUUGGUAGGGUAAUGGCCUACCAAGCCGACGAUCCUUAGCUGGUCUGAGAGGAUGAUCAGCCACACUGGGACUGAGACACGGCCCAGACUCCUACGGGAGGCAGCAGUGGGGAAUAUUGGACAAUGGGCGAAAGCCUGAUCCAGCAAUGCCGCGUGAGUGAUGAAGGCCUUAGGGUUGUAAAGCUCUUUUACCAAGGAUGAUAAUGACAGUACCUGGAGAAUAAGCUCCGGCUAACUCCGUGCCAGCAGCCGCGGUAAU
This 450-nucleotide ribosomal RNA is filed under the name uncultured bacterium. RNAcentral's name for it is "bacterial SSU rRNA". It matches the Rfam family "Bacterial small subunit ribosomal RNA", at positions 29 to 524 of the family's 1533-position model. The record is from RNAcentral.